CUAGGACCAAGGUCCUCCUGUGCCCCUUCCUCAGCAAGCAGGGCAUCCAAGCCCCACCGAGCCCUAGUCUGGGUCCGGCCGCCUGACCUCCCCCACCCCCACGCGCCUCGGCCUCACACCCGCCCGCCCGCCCCUUCCCCCGCCGCGAGCCCUCCCCGCCGGUCUCCCGCGCUGGGACGGGGACGCCUGCGGACAGGACCCUCGCGGCUCCCCGGGGUGCCCACGGCGCCCGGCACAGGGCGGGGACGUCAGCGCGGGCAGGAAUGCUUGUCCCCGGGCCCUUCACCCCCCGCCCUGGCUCCGCUCCCAGGUGACCGCCCGCGAGCGCGAGCGCGAGCGCGAGGGAGUGUCCUGCCCGCGGCGUCCGUGGUUUCCGAGGAGCUCGGGGCCGGGAGCGGCAGGUGCGGGGAGGGCGCGGAGGGCGCGGGUUUGCGCCAGCGGGGGCCCCGCCCCGUGGAGGCCCCGCCCCGUGGAGGCCCCGCCCCGUGGAGGCCCCGCCCCGUGGAGGCCCCGCCCCGUGGAGGCCCCGCCCCGUGGAGGCCCCGCCCCCGUGGAGGCCCCGCCCCGUGGAGGCCCCGCCCCGUGGAGGCCCCGCCCUCUAGAGGCCCCGCCCCGUGGAGGCCCCGCCCCCCGGAGGCCCCGCCCUCUUCCCCGCCCUGUGGCGGCCCCGCGCCCCGGGAGCAUCGAAGGGCUCCGCGGCCUCGGACGACCCAGGCGGGCGGGCUGCAGGGCCUGGCCUCGGUGCCCUCCCCGGGGCCCGACCUGGACGUCCCUCCCCAGCCCGCUUCCUUGCCGCGCCCGCCGGCCGACCCGCUCGGGCCUAGGGUCUCACCCGGGGACAAUGGCAGGGGCGGAGCUGCAGCGGACGUGCGGACAAUGGGCCCCCGGCCACCCGGCCGACCCGCGUCCGGCCUUUCUCGGCCUGGGCGGGGCCGCGGGGCGAGGGGGACGCGGAGGUGGCGCUGCUUCGGGCCGCGAGCCACAGCCCCUCCCCCCGGGACCCUCUAUACCCCCCCCCGUGCCCUCCCCCGGGACCCUCUACACCCCCCCCGUGCCCUCCCCCGGGACCCUCCCAUGGCGCCUGUCCUGGAGGCCAGGGGUCCUCCCCAACCCACCUCUGCCCUCAGCGCUGCCCACCUGCAGGCCUGGCGAGGGGAGCAGGGGUUUUCAAACAUCCCCCCCACCCCCGUUUUUUUUUUAUUUUUUUUUAAUUAA
RNAcentral lists this long non-coding RNA (1215 nucleotides) under Canis lupus familiaris (dog). Its description in RNAcentral is "lncRNA (ENSCAFG00030020091.1)". The record is from RNAcentral. Lineage: Eukaryota; Metazoa; Chordata; Mammalia; Carnivora; Canidae.